AAGACCUUGCGCUUUUGGAGCGGCCGAUGCCCGAUUAGCUUGUUGGUAAGGUAAAAGCUUACCAAGGCUUCGAUCAGUAGCUGGUCUGAGAGGACGACCAGCCACACUGGGACUGAGACACGGCCCAGACUCCUACGGGAGGCAGCAGUGGGGAAUUUUGGGCAAUGGGGGCAACCCUGAUCCAGCCAUGCCGCGUGAGUGAAGAAGGCCUUCGGGUUGUAAAGCUCCUUCAGCCGGGAAGAAAAGGUUGCGACGAAUAAUCACAAUUCAUGACGGUAUCGACAGAAGAAGCACCGGCUAACUACGUGCCAGCAGCCGCGGUAAUACGUAGGGUGCGAGCGUUAAUCGGAAUUACUGGGCGUAAAGCGUGCGCAGGUGGUUUUGUAAGUCAGAUGUGAAAGCCCCGGGCUCAACCUGGGAACU
This 423-nucleotide ribosomal RNA is filed under the name uncultured bacterium. RNAcentral's name for it is "bacterial SSU rRNA". It matches the Rfam family "Bacterial small subunit ribosomal RNA", at positions 207 to 622 of the family's 1533-position model. The record is from RNAcentral.